UACAGAGGGUGCGAGCGUUAAUCGGAAUUACUGGGCGUAAAGCGCGCGUAGGCGGCUUGGUAUGUCGGGUGUGAAAUCCCCGGGCUCAACCUGGGAACUGCAUCCGAAACUGCCUUGCUAGAGUAUGGGAGAGGGAAGUGGAAUUUCCGGUGUAGCGGUGAAAUGCGUAGAUAUCGGAAGGAACAUCAGUGGCGAAGGCGACUUCCUGGACCAAUACUGACGCUCAGGUGCGAAAGCGUGGGGAGCAAACAGG
This 253-nucleotide ribosomal RNA is filed under the name uncultured bacterium. RNAcentral describes it as "partial 16S ribosomal RNA". It matches the Rfam family "Bacterial small subunit ribosomal RNA", at positions 524 to 776 of the family's 1533-position model. The record is from RNAcentral.